This 722-nucleotide ribosomal RNA is filed under the name uncultured Gaiella sp. RNAcentral's name for it is "bacterial SSU rRNA". It matches the Rfam family "Bacterial small subunit ribosomal RNA", at positions 94 to 803 of the family's 1533-position model. Lineage: Bacteria; Bacillati; Actinomycetota; Thermoleophilia; Gaiellales; Gaiellaceae. The record is from RNAcentral.
AGCGGCGAACGGGUGAGUAACACGUGGAUAACCUGCCCUCGGCACCGGAAUAGCCCGGGGAAACCCGGAUUAAUGCCGGAUGGCCCCACAUCCCUGCGGGGAACGUGGGAAAAGGUAGCUUCGGCCUCUGGCCGAGGAUGGGUCCGCGGUGGAUUAGCUUGUUGGUGGGGUAAUGGCUCACCAAGGCGACGAUCCAUAGCUGGUCUGAGAGGACGAUCAGCCACACUGGGACUGAGACACGGCCCAGACUCCUACGGGAGGCAGCAGUGGGGAAUCUUGCGCAAUGGGCGAAAGCCUGACGCAGCGACGCCGCGUGCGGGAAGAAGGCCUUAGGGUUGUAAACCGCUUUCAGGAGGGACGAAGCCACUCGGGUGAAUAGCCCAGAGGGUGACGGUACCUCCAGAAGAAGCCCCGGCUAACUACGUGCCAGCAGCCGCGGUAAUACGUAGGGGGCAAGCGUUGUCCGGAUUCAUUGGGCGUAAAGAGCGUGUAGGCGGCCAGGUAGGUCGGUUGUGAAAACUGGAGGCUCAACCUUCAGAGGUCGACCGAAACCAUCUGGCUAGAGUCCGGGAGAGGAGAGUGGAAUUCCUGGUGUAGCGGUGAAAUGCGCAGAUAUCAGGAAGAACACCCGUGGCGAAAGCGGCUCUCUGGAACGGUACUGACGCUGAGACGCGAAAGCGUGGGGAGCGAACAGGAUUAGAUACCCUGGUAGUCCACGCCGU